UUAAUCGAUUUCUUCGGAUUGAAAUUUUAGUGACUGAGUGGCGGACGGGUGAGUAACGCGUGGGUAACCUGCCUCACACAGGGGGAUAACAGUUGGAAACGGCUGCUAAUACCGCAUAAGCGCACAGUACCGCAUGGUACGGUGUGAAAAACUCCGGUGGUGUGAGAUGGACCCGCGUCUGAUUAGCUAGUUGGCAGGGCAACGGCCUACCAAGGCGACGAUCAGUAGCCGACCUGAGAGGGUGACCGGCCACAUUGGGACUGAGACACGGCCCAAACUCCUACGGGAGGCAGCAGUGGGGAAUAUUGCACAAUGGGGGAAACCCUGAUGCAGCGACGCCGCGUGAGCGAAGAAGUAUUUCGGUAUGUAAAGCUCUAUCAGCAGGGAAGAAGAAAUGACGGUACCUGACUAAGAAGCACCGGCUAAAUACGUGCCAGCAGCCGCGGUAAUACGUAUGGUGCAAGCGUUAUCCGGAUUUACUGGGUGUAAAGGGAGCGCAGGCGGAAGGCUAAGUCUGAUGUGAAAGCCCGGGGCUCAACCCCGGUACUGCAUUGGAAACUGGUCAUCUAGAGUGUCGGAGGGGUAAGUGGAAUUCCUAGUGUAGCGGUGAAAUGCGUAGAUAUUAGGAGGAACACCAGUGGCGAAGGCGGCUUACUGGACGAUAACUGACGCUGAGGCUCGAAAGCGUGGGGAGCAAACAGGAUUAGAUACCCUGGUAGUC
Molecule: ribosomal RNA, 721 nt
Filed under: uncultured bacterium
Lineage: Bacteria
Description: bacterial SSU rRNA
Rfam family: Bacterial small subunit ribosomal RNA
Source: RNAcentral